Non-coding RNA from Hippocampus comes (tiger tail seahorse), 73 nucleotides. Lineage: Eukaryota; Metazoa; Chordata; Actinopteri; Syngnathiformes; Syngnathidae. The record is from the annotation of a RefSeq genome assembly.
GCUGAAAUAGCUCAGUUGGGAGAGCGUAAGACUGAAGAUCUUAAGUUUUCUGGUUCAAACCCAGGUUUCAUCA